This is a long non-coding RNA of Raphanus sativus (radish), 715 nucleotides long. RefSeq lists it as uncharacterized. The record is from RefSeq and is a predicted model, not a curated record. The transcript is spliced from 2 exons. Lineage: Eukaryota; Viridiplantae; Streptophyta; Magnoliopsida; Brassicales; Brassicaceae.
AUAUUUUGAUUCCGGUUUUAGCCUUAUAGACAGCUUUCAUUCAACCAACUUGAUUAGAGUUGUGUCAGUAUUUGCAGCAUAGGGCCUAGUGUCUGCAGCAUAGGUUCUAGACUCUAGCUAUUUUUUUUUCAAAUCCUAGAUUCUAUCUCUCUCGUUUAUCUUCUUCUCUCUUCUUUUAUUCACUUCCUGUUUUUUUUUCUCUUCUUCUCUCUUCUAUCUUCUCUUAUAUAUUUUUUAUUCUCAAUUUCUAAUUUGGUUUAUGAGAGGAAGAUUCGAAAAAGAAAAAUGAACCAGCGAAAUGUCUUUUACCAAGUUACAUUUGAAUUAGUUUUGGUUGUUCUAUUGAAUUAUUUAAUUUGUUUGAUUGUUAUGCUUAAAGAGAUUUGCUUGCUAGUGUAGGUGAAAGUUGUGUUGAAUCUAAAGCUCAAUCAAAACAGAUUUUUGGUUGGUACAGGGGUACAAACUUCCAGGUGGUUGAAUGAAGAGGAAGAUGGAUUGGUCACUAACAUGGGACGAAUAGGUGGAACUGGCUCACGACUCACGAAUUAAUUUUAUUUGUUUAAUGUUAACGAACAAACUUAGAUGUUAUUGCUAAAGAUUUAAUUAGCUGUUAUUAUUUGUUGUAGUGACCGUUAAAUGUAUGUGUCUAAUUAACAAACGAACUUAGCCGUUAGUUUAUAGUAUAUAUAAGUAUGAGAAAUUUAAGUCUGUCAAA